GGCAUGGUCUGAUGUAUGGAGACAAAGCAUUUGAUUUUCUUAAUUGAGUCUGGUCACUGAAAAUGGUUGUUUCCUUUAUUGUUCUUAAAGAUUCCUUGGCAUUAAGCAUUUUGCCUUUUCUUUUUUUUUUCUUUUUUUUUUUUAAUCCAGAACUUACUAAAAUGCCUGAUCUUGAGCUUUCUUUCUUCUGGUCCUGCUUUUUGUGAAUUUUUUGCCGGUUAAGGAGCAAAAACAGUAAGUGAAACUGUUCCUGUCAGUAAAGAAAGCUAAGCUUUGCUGAUCUGUGCUAAACUCAUUUUAACCUUCUAACUGUGCAACUUGUUUUAUCCUAUAUUCAAAACUCUUUACUUUUUUUCCUUUUUUAAUCUAUGAUCUUUUAUUCCCAUUAUGCUCUUGGGUAGCUCAAGGGUUUUUUCUCAAGCUCAAGAAGUUACUGAGACCAAAUUACACAGGCCACCUCCUUCAAAUCUUGCCCUUCUGCUAACGACUAAAUAGUGUGUUGCUCAGCUGUGGGCCAUCUUCUACAAUGGCUAAAGGAGCUAUUCUUUGUAUAAUAUAUUCUUCUGUGAAACCAAAUCUCUGUAAGUACAGUUUAUGUGGUUCUUCAGUUCAAGAAGCCAUAUUCGGGAGUGAAGAUGCUGAGAUCACCGGAUGCGUCGACAUAAAAUGUUUGUCUGAGGCACCAUCUCUAAAGGUACUUGGAGCAAGAACUUCGAAUCCUUACAAACAGAAGUAUGCAUUAAUAUGUCAUCUUCUGAAGCCUGGCAAUAUAAUUUUGUGGAAUUUUCAAGGGAAAAAAAAGCAUUGUGGUAAAACUGCAGUUAGCUAUGUGUUUACUUAAAGUAAUUUCCUUGAUUUCAAUCUAAUCCUAGUUGUAAUACUUGAAAUCCAAGUAUAGGCAAGGUCCAGCUUCACCACCAUAUCAAACAAAAUGUAACAUCUCUCUUCAGAAUUUACAGGGUAACCAUUGCUUUUGAAAUCUCGAUGUUAGCAGGUUUCUUGCUCGUGUGCCAGACAAAUAAAUGGCAGCUGCUGGAGUGUACUGCUUUUGUAUUUGCUCAGUUUUACCCUGUGAAGCUGUAGGGACAGGAACGUAAGGUCUGUGCCCGAGUGGGGUGAGAAGGAGGCUUUUACUUUCCCCCCAUUUCCGCCUCUUUUUUCCCUUCUGUAAUUGACUAAAAAGCAAAUCCUUUUUGGCUGCUGAAAAGCCAAACUGUUAGAACUUCCAGGCAAAUAGCAAAAAAGGUUUUGUUCCAGAGCAAAGGAAAACAAAAUUAUUUUGAAUUGGAUGUUGAGAGUAAUUUGUGGAUAGUUCAUAGACUUUCUGUGCCGUUACUGGGCAUUGUUUUUACACGUGAGAUAUCUUUCACCGAUCACCAUUGUUAAGGUAUGUGGUACUGGGAUUAGGCUGUGUUUAACGCAGUUGCAUUUCCUGGCACAAGUUUUAUAUAAUUUAUGUAUAGUGAAGACCAUCAAGAUUUUAUGUCUCUAAGGUAAGCACUAAUGUUUUACUAAGAAUAAAUUUUGUUGGGCUCAGCUGUCAUUGGUGGCUUCUGCCCGCUGUCUGAAAAA
This is a long non-coding RNA of Strigops habroptila (Kakapo), 1572 nucleotides long. The record is from Ensembl. NCBI's taxonomy places the organism in Eukaryota, Metazoa, Chordata, Aves, Psittaciformes, Psittacidae.